UAAGAGACAGCAGUAGCCGCGGUAAUACGUAGGGGGCAAGCGUUAUCCGGAAUAACUGGGCGUAAAGGGUGCGCAGGUGGUUUAACAAGUUAGUGGUGAAAGGCAUAGGCUCAACCAAUGUAAGCCAUUAAAACUGUUUAACUUGAGUGCAGGAGAGGAAAGUGGAAUUCCUAGUGUAGCGGUGAAAUGCGUAGAUAUUAGGAGGAAUACCAGUGGCGAAGGCGACUUUCUGGACUGCAACUGACACUGAGGCACGAAAGCGUGGGGAGCAAACAGGAUUAGAGACCCCCGUAGUCCCUGUCUCUUAUACA
This 311-nucleotide ribosomal RNA is filed under the name uncultured bacterium. RNAcentral describes it as "partial 16S ribosomal RNA". It matches the Rfam family "Bacterial small subunit ribosomal RNA", at positions 502 to 808 of the family's 1533-position model. The record is from RNAcentral.